UGAAAUGCGAUGAUAAAGACACGUUUUCAUACAGGGAGUUACAGAGAGCCGGCGGCUGGUGGAAGCCGGUACGAGAGGUAUGGAAAAUAUCACUUUGGAGCAGAUUUCCUGAAUACAGUAAGGAAAUACGAUACACUUGUCGUUAUAAGCAGAGGGCACAUGGAAUCCGUGUGAACUAAGGUGGUACCGCGUUAUAAGACGUCCUUAGA
RNAcentral lists this non-coding RNA (209 nucleotides) under Erysipelotrichaceae bacterium. RNAcentral describes it as "T-box sequence". It matches the Rfam family "T-box leader". Rfam says of the family: Uncharged tRNA acts as the effector for transcription antitermination of genes in the T-box leader family. T-boxes are found upstream of many aminoacyl-tRNA synthetase genes and some amino acid biosynthetic genes usually in Gram-positive bacteria. Lineage: Bacteria; Bacillati; Bacillota; Erysipelotrichia; Erysipelotrichales; Erysipelotrichaceae. The record is from RNAcentral.